Molecule: ribosomal RNA, 249 nt
Filed under: uncultured bacterium
Lineage: Bacteria
Description: partial 16S ribosomal RNA
Rfam family: Bacterial small subunit ribosomal RNA
Source: RNAcentral
AAUAGUGAUAUGGAGCAAAACCCUAAAAAGACGGUCUCAGUUCGGAUUGAAGGCUGAAAUUCGCCUUCAUGAAGCUGGAAUUGCUAGUAAUGGCAGGUCAGCAUACUGCCGUGAAUACGUUCCCGGGCCUUGUACACACCGCCCGUCACACCAUGAGAGUUGGAAAUACCCGAAGCCUGUGAGCUAACUGUAAAGAGGCAGCAGUCGAAGGUAGAGCCAAUGAUUGGGGUGAAGUCGUAACAAGGUAUC